RNAcentral lists this ribosomal RNA (252 nucleotides) under uncultured bacterium. RNAcentral's name for it is "partial 16S ribosomal RNA". It matches the Rfam family "Bacterial small subunit ribosomal RNA", at positions 524 to 776 of the family's 1533-position model. The record is from RNAcentral.
UACGGAGGAUGCGAGCGUUAUCCGGAUUUAUUGGGUUUAAAGGGUGCGUAGGCGGACUGUUAAGUCAGCGGUAAAAGCCCGGGGCUCAACCCCAUCCAGCCGUUGAAACUGGGGAUCUAGAGUGUGCGAGAGGUAUGCGGAAUGCGUGGUGUAGCGGUGAAAUGCAUAGAUAUAUGGAAGAACACCAGUGGCGAAGGCGGCUUGCUGGGCCUGUACUGACAUUGAGGCACGAAAGCGUGGGGAGCAAAUAGG